Molecule: ribosomal RNA, 253 nt
Filed under: uncultured bacterium
Lineage: Bacteria
Description: partial 16S ribosomal RNA
Rfam family: Bacterial small subunit ribosomal RNA
Source: RNAcentral
UACGGAGGGUGCAAGCGUUAAUCGGAAUUACUGGGCGUAAAGCGCACGCAGGUGGCUGAGUCAGUCGAUUGUGAAAGCCCUGGGCUUAACCUGGGAAUUGCAGUCGAUACUACUCAGCUAGAGUAUGGGAGAGGGUAGUGGAAUUCCCGGUGUAGCGGUGAAAUGCGCAGAUAUCGGGAAGAACACCCGUGGCUAAGGCGGCCCUCUAGUACGGUACUGACGCUGAGACGCGAAAGCGUGGGGAGCGAACAGG